RNAcentral lists this non-coding RNA (30 nucleotides) under Mus musculus (house mouse). Lineage: Eukaryota; Metazoa; Chordata; Mammalia; Rodentia; Muridae. The record is from RNAcentral.
UGACAAACUAAAUGGUCAUGAAUUAGCCAA